AUUCAGCUUUUUUUCCGUCUGCAAUUGUCGCACGUCUAAAAAUAAAUACGACUUCACGUUGAGUCAAUCACGUUUGCACACUGAGUCCGAAACUUUUGUUCAUUGUUAAAAUUUUCACAUUAGGUUUGAUUUUUUUUUUUUCUCGUAUCCGUCAGACCAUGGACCGCGGAACGCAUCUGCAUACGCAUCCGCAUACUUCUCACCCAGUGAGCAGCGUCUUACCAUGGACACUUAUGAAGAGAUAAAACAUAUAGUCACGAAGAAAGGAAACACUGCAGCGAUAAUAAAGCAGAGAGAGAGCGCGUGGCAAACAAUUGCGGACCGACUGAAUGCGUGAGCAGUGGAAGUUAAGCAGCUGCUGAUUUCACACCAGCAGAAGAGCUCGCCCUGGAUCAGAACCGAGGCAGGCCGAUGAUGGAGGACGGAGGGGGGGAAACCGCCCUCUUCAUACAAGUGUAAGACAAAUUGACAAAUUAAAAGAAACUGGACUAAAUUGGAUUUAGAAAUUACUACAGAAAGA
Epinephelus moara (kelp grouper) is the source of this 520-nucleotide long non-coding RNA. RefSeq lists it as uncharacterized. The transcript is spliced from 3 exons. NCBI's taxonomy places the organism in Eukaryota, Metazoa, Chordata, Actinopteri, Perciformes, Serranidae. The record is from RefSeq and is a predicted model, not a curated record.